This is a non-coding RNA of Bolinopsis microptera, 73 nucleotides long. NCBI's taxonomy places the organism in Eukaryota, Metazoa, Ctenophora, Tentaculata, Lobata, Bolinopsidae. The record is from the annotation of a RefSeq genome assembly.
GCCCGGUUAGCUCAGUCGGUAGAGCACGAGACUCUUAAUCUCGGGGUCGCGGGUUCGAGCCCCGCAUUGGGCU